GCGGUAAAACCAGCUCUUCAAGUGGUCGGGAUAAUUAUUGGGCUUAAAGUGUCCGUAGCCGGUUUAGUAAGUUCCUGGUAAAAUCAGGUAGCUUAACUAUCUGUAUGCUAGGAAUACUGCUAUACUAGAGGGCGGGAGAGGUCUGAGGUACUACAGGGGUAGGGGUGAAAUCUUAUAAUCCUUG
This 184-nucleotide ribosomal RNA is filed under the name Promethearchaeota archaeon. RNAcentral describes it as "Candidatus Lokiarchaeota archaeon partial 16S ribosomal RNA". It matches the Rfam family "Archaeal small subunit ribosomal RNA", at positions 467 to 651 of the family's 1478-position model. Lineage: Archaea; Promethearchaeati; Promethearchaeota. The record is from RNAcentral.